This is a long non-coding RNA of Carassius auratus (goldfish), 863 nucleotides long. RefSeq lists it as uncharacterized. The transcript has 4 exons. NCBI's taxonomy places the organism in Eukaryota, Metazoa, Chordata, Actinopteri, Cypriniformes, Cyprinidae. The record is from RefSeq and is a predicted model, not a curated record.
CAUGGGUGGAGUGUUAUUAGGCAUUGUGAUUCAAUUGACUAUUACUUGUCUAUAUUAUAUAAUACUACUGUAUUAUAGAAGUAAUCAUACUUAACAUGUUUUUAUUACUGUAUUGUAUACUUAAACUUGUUAGUGUAUAAAUGUAACAUACUGUGGGUGCUGGUAGGUGAAGGAUUAGUGGUUCUUCACCACAGGACUGUUCUGUGAUGGAGCAUCAGUAAUGAUGCAGGUCAGGAGUACUGAGGGGACCAUGGUGAGAAUGAAAACAAAAGCCUCAAUCCUCAACCUCAGCCGUAUAAAUCUUUUGGAGAUUUUUCCCUCUACUCCACAGCAUGAUGGAAGCCUGCUGGAGAGUGACUGAGCUUCUUUCUCCAACACAUCCACUGCAUUGGGGAGCUCCAUGAGCAGGAUUGUCAUCUGUUUGCCGUGUUGCAGUUUUGCAUUUUCCACAGAUGCUGGCAAAUCGGAUUAAUUUGUGGACAAUGUAGCCUGCGAGAUGGAAGAGAAUACAUUUCUCUGUUUUUGUGAGGUCAGGUGCUGUUCUGUUCUCCACCAUCAGCUGUUCCACUCUGACUGAUGGAGUGACGUUUUGUUUCACUGUUUCCAGGAAGUCUGCCAAAAAACUACUGUCAUCUUCCUGGUAGCUCCCAGAGGUGAUGGCGCUGAAGAACUGACCUACGGAUAUGAUUCUCAGUGCAUGAUGGAAUUCCACUGGAGUUGGCUUCCAAACUCCCUUAUGACCAAUCUUCAUCCCAUAGAAUAGAUGGAUGAUAUCCUGUAGGAAGAUUAUGGCCUUUUCAUACUCCUCUAUCUUGACCCUGCUCAGUGCUGUAAUUGGAUGGCGAGAUGACAUAAGAUCAAAC